CUCCAAGAAGCUAAGGGCAGGACAGGUUCCGUUCACUCGUUCAUUCGACAGACGUUCAUUGAGCUUGAACUAUGCUUGGCGCCAUGCUUAGGCACUGGGUUCUGGCGUCGCUGGAUCCGAACCCUGCACUCACCGGUUAUUGUGAGUUAGUGUAGGGGGGCCAUGCAUUCCGGGUUACGUCCGUGGAACUGGUGUAAGUGUUAAUAGUGUCUUUUUACUCGCUUAGAAAUGUCUUAGUGGUGGGGGCGGUAGUUAAGGAACCCUGUCCCCCAAUUCAAGGAAAGCUCCCACGGCGCAGGUAAGGAAGACAAGCUAUUGUCUGCUCACUUUGCAACGGGCACUUUGUAGUCUCUGUAAUCUUUGCCUCUCAUUCCGCAAGGUAAGUAUCUCUAGCACCUUUUACAGAUGGAGAAACUGGCUCAGAAGAGUUGAGACUUGCCCAGGGCCAAACAGCUAAGUGCUGGAACCAGGAUCCAGACCCAAGUCUAUGUGGCUUCCAAAAUCCAAGUGCCCUAUCUUAUUCUUCCUUCUCAAAACAGAUGAUAUUAAAAAGACGUCCCUGAGCGCUGGUCCUGAAGGUUCCACCAUCUCUGAACCAAGGAGGGGACAAAGGACUUACAUACUGAGCCCCUACCAUAUGGAAGGCUCUGUUAGGUCCUGCUAAGGAUGUCAUUAAGAAGUUUAUGACACAAUUCCUAAAGUCGUUUCUUCUCCCUCCUUCCAAACUCCACGGUUUCCUGUGCCACUUCCCAUGCCAGGAGGGCCCGUCCUCCAUGUCUACCCAUCUCUCAAGCUCCAGCUCAUAAAGCCUGCUUGGAACAGCGCCAGCCAAAUCUGAUUCCUCUCUCCUCUGAAAGCCCAGCACACUCAGUCUGUACCUUUCUCAGGACACAGCAUGUGGCCUGUCUCAUAUUCUAGUGAUCUGUUUACUAAUCCUGUUCUUUUAACCAGAUUAGAAAGUCCUUGAGGUAGAAACAAAGUCUGCUUCUUUGAGGCCUCCCCCCAUGGCUUCAGCUCAUCCCCCACAGGCCAAGCUUGGCACUGGAGUUGAUGUUCAAUAAAUGCUGGGUGUAUUGAAAUGAUUUCCUGCCCUUGGGCAGUUUGCAGACCAGUUGAAGAGACAAACACAUGGCAUGUGAGGUUAAAUAAUAACCCAAGCCAGCAGGUGGUGAGUACCAAAUGUGUUAAGAGCUAUAGGGACUCAGUAGGAAGGAGGUGGUGAUAUGGGAGAGAAAGAUCCCAGGAGGUUCUAGGCCUUGAGCUCUGUGUGUGGAGGAGGAGAGAAAAGGCGUGGAGGUGACUCAGUCUGGUUGACAUCACCACAAACCAGCCUCCAUGUCAGGCACUUCACAUACAUUAUCUCUAACAUUUAAGGGAGGGGGGUAGGUUUGGGAAGAGUGGAGGGGACAGUACCCAAGCCAGACCUGCCCAGAGCCAAUCAGAGUGUAGAGGCAGCCUUGGAUCUGGCUGCGCCCCACCCUCACUCCCCGGGCACUGCCUGUUCCCUGGCCUGCCACUCCUACAUACUACACCCAAGAGAGCUGCCCAGCACUGCCCAGCUCUGGAUGCACUCUGGUCCCACCCUGGUGAACAACUGGCUGUGUGACCUUGGGCAAGGCACUUCCUUCCCUACACCUCCCUGUCAUCUGUACCUCCGUUGCAGCACUUACAGGCUGUGAUUCUGGAAAUUCCUCGCGCUGGACCGCACCCGCCCUUGAGGACCUCCCGAUCUCUUUGGGCAGAGCGGAAGCCAGGCAGAGCCGGGAACGUGAAAUGACAAUCCUUAGCCCUGUGUGUGCCACAAGCCCCCGGGGGCAGGCGGCCACGCUGCAGGAGGGCAGAGGCGGGAGAGGGACCCUGGCGUGGGCUGCUGGGACAGAGUCCUUCUCAGAGGAGGUGGGGACCCCGUGGAGUACGUGACUCCUGCCCCUCCAGCCUGCACGCUCCAGUUAGCAGGACAGAGACCCCUCCCCACCCCUCCCCGACGUUCCCGGGCUUUCUGCUCUGCUGGGAAGCCCUGUCAUCCCUCCCCCCGACCAACACUCCUCCCAGGCACCCCUGAGAGGACCAGCUGCAGCUGAGGGUGGGGGUGGGGAGAGUGCUGCCAGGGCUCUCAGAUCCCUAUAGCCUCUCUCUCCCACCCCUCCCUCGCCCCCAACUGCUGAGCUGCUUCGAGGUUUAAAGCAAAACACGAUUCCGUCCUUCCUGCUGCUCGGUGGCAGCAGUGCUGCUUGAGGUUAUUUUUAGCAGGGAUGCAGGGAAGGCACAUUUCUCCUGGACUUUCGCUGAGGACACCCCUCAUCCCCCAGCCAAGACUCGGCCGGGGGAGUCUGGUACGGAAACCCCCGUCUCAGAAAGGGGAAACGCGUGUGUUUUCUGUUCCUUCAACUCACCAGAACAGGAGUUGCAGUCAAGCCUGGGGUUACACUGAUGGGAAAUGUGAGGUUCCAAAGCCAGUGUGCUGCCCUCAUCCCUGGUAUCCAAGGCCUUGUAAAUCUGGGGAGCAGGAGGUGCCUGGGGCCUGUGAUGCCCAGCGUGUGGGUGUUGGUGUCCAAGGGGAGCCAGCACUGUGGACCGCAUGGGGGCAUGAGGCAUUCUGGGUGGUGUUUAUGCAGGUACUUGAUUUAUAAUUCAUUAAACUGAUCAUGUCUGUUCUAUGUAUUUCUCUGUAUGUGUGUCUUUUAUGCUAGCAGUACUUUAUUGAGGUAUACUCUACAUACAGUAAAAUGCAUAAAUCUUAACAGCACAGCUCAAUGAAUUUUGACAAGUAUGUAUACACAUGUAACUAUCACCUAGAUAGAGACUUGGAACAUUUUCAGCAUGCCUAAGUUCCCUCAUGCCCCCUCCCAGUCAGUCCCCACCCCAGAGGUAACCGAGAUCUGAUUUCUCUCACCAUAGAUUAGUUUCCUGUGUGUGUGUGUGUUACAAGGUUAAAAGAAAUACAG
This is a long non-coding RNA of Physeter macrocephalus (sperm whale), 2945 nucleotides long. RefSeq lists it as uncharacterized. The transcript is spliced from 3 exons. NCBI's taxonomy places the organism in Eukaryota, Metazoa, Chordata, Mammalia, Artiodactyla, Physeteridae. The record is from RefSeq and is a predicted model, not a curated record.